CGAAUUUAGAAUUCUAGGACUGGAAUUCCAGGCAAGCAGAGCUGCCAAAAUCCUUCUCUACGCGUUCCACUUCCCCUUUACACCGCAUGGGCGGACACUUGGCCACCGCCGGGGCCUUGGGGUGAGCACACGCUCAGGAGGAUGGACCUAAAGAAACGCUUUUGCAAGCCCUGAAAACAACAGUGAUGAAGUAGAACUGCAUGUAACAAUAUGGAUACAUCUGAAAAAUACGCUGUUAAAUGAGCAAAACAGAUUGCAGACGGAUAGCACAAGCUCAGCCCAGCACUAUGUUUUUCAAUCCUCUUAGCAUUGGAAUAAUCCAAGGAACUUAAAAACAUACACACAUAAAACGAUGUGGGAACGUCACCCCCGGGAAUUCUGAUUCUGCUGGUCUAGGGUCAGACACAAGCACAGCAUUCUGAGCCCUCAAGACGAAAGGAGAGAGGAAAGAAGAAAGGAAGGAAGGAGGGCAGCAAGAGAGGGUGAAGAGAGUGAGGGAGGAAGAGCCAAGACUACAAUGCAUUCUUAAAGUUUCAGCAAGGCUGACAGGAAGUCCCCAAGGACAUCCAUCAGAAGAGUCCCCACUCCCAGGAAAGGACCUACCUCGAUGUCCCUACUGUGCUCAGCCACUGGCUGAGGUGGCUGUGAAAUCAUGAUAUUGGUGCAAACACAUGGUGAUUUCAGAGCACAGCAGCCGGGGAUAUCCCUCAAUUACACUCCCUGCAGUAGAUCUGAGAGGAGCCUUUUCAUGGCCUCCACAGUCUUACUUGUUAGUCAAGACUUAAUCAAACAAAAAAUUUGAUUUCCUUCAACUCCUCAAGUGUACUUUAAGGUCCUGUUCUGUUUCUGGACUCUACACUUUUCCCCCCUGCAGCAUUCUCCACACUGAACCGGUCCCCCAUCCUUCCCCUUCAUAAAUGACUCUACAUGGGCUAAAUCUAGGUACAGGGAGGCCUUCUCUUGAGCCGCCCACUGAGCAUUCUAUCUCAAGGCCCUGCUCCCACCUCAAAUUCAGCUGGUUCUAAACCAGACUCAUCAUCUCCUGAAAAAUAUUCCUCACUUCUCUCCUUCCCUCCUUCCUUCCUUCUCUCCUCCCCUCUGCUUUCUAAGGGUCAGAGCUCUCCCAACCUCCUCCUGCUCCUUCCCCAUUUCCCCUCAGAGGCUUCACCCAGUAAAUCUCUCCGAUGUCUCACCCUGUCUGGGCAUCUGCUUCUCAGAGGACUUGACUAACAUGAGACUUAAAUCAGCCCAUGAGUGGGGACUUCUCUCAAUAUUUCUUUGGCAUUUCUCACAGUGCUGGACAGCCAGACUCUCUCCUUGGGAAUUACAUAAUUGCACAUGUGGAAUGACUUGGGGAGACCCAAGGAAGGUUUCCCCAAGUGUGUGACCCCUGACACCAACCUACUAUGUGACCUUAGCCAACUUACUUCACCUCUUAGCCCAUUAAUUUUCUCACCAUAAAAUGAGUGGUUAAAUUCAAUGUAAAUUCACACAAAGUCCC
RNAcentral lists this long non-coding RNA (1501 nucleotides) under Homo sapiens (human). RNAcentral's name for it is "HSALNT0057609". Lineage: Eukaryota; Metazoa; Chordata; Mammalia; Primates; Hominidae. The record is from RNAcentral.